GAAAGGACUUCAGGUUAAUAUUGAAUCUACUUGUAAUCCUCCCUAGGAAGGAACAUAAAUCAUUGCCUAGGGCAUCAGAAAACCAUAUAUCCUCAGCCUGAAUCAUUGUUCGUUUACACAACUAGGUAACUUGAAUAAUACGAGCCAAACAAAUGUAUAUCAUUUGAAGAUUGCAUUGAAAACGAUAGGAACAUACUCAAAAUUGAAGGAAAGUAGAGGACCACCAUCCUAGAGUAGUAAAAGUAAAUCUAUUAUCUAGAAAACCAAAAAUCCCAAACCAUCUCUUUAUAUCUCUCUCCAUGCGCAUUAGAAUAGAGAACUGGAAAGGAUCUAGUGCUGGUGCCUUGUCCUUCUCAGAAGAACCUCCAAAACACCCUCUCCCUGGACUUAGUACUUGUAAUCCGUCACAUGAAGACUCUCCGCAGCACCCUCUCCCAGGAUAGCAAGGACUGUUCAUAAGUCGGGUUUGAAUAAAUUAAGCCUUCAAUCCAAUCCAAUCUAUGUAAAUUAUAGUAAUCUUAUAUUACAAACCAACCCAAGACUUCGAUUGUCAGACAUUGGGUUGUGUAAGCACGGCAGUAUAGCUACAAGAUCAGACGCCACAAAGAAAUUCAUUGGAUUAGUCCGUCGGGUGAAAUGGAUAUCCAAAACAUUGCAUGAUGGGCUUGCUAAUGUGAACUGAAAUGUUAAUCAACUGUUUUUUAUAUCAUGUGAUAUUUGUUAGUAAAAAUCAAUUCACCAUACAUUUAAUCCUAUUUAAAAUAUUUAACAUAUAAUGAUUAAAUUUUAAAAUAAUAGAAAAUUAAUAAUAAAAUUUAAAUAUUACAUUCCCUAAAAUGAGUCUUGCUUUGUCUAAAUAACAGAAGCAAUAACAAAAUCUAUUAAUGUUAUAAACUCCACUUCUAAAUUCUGCAGAAGGCUGCUCUCCAAAUGUUAGUUGAUAUAACUCUGAAAACUCCAAAAAAAACAAAUAUAGCACAAUACAUAUUACACAAAUAUUAGUAUAAUAUUAUCAAAAAAAAGAAAGAAAAAUGCUUUCAAUCCAAACAAAUAUAAUAAAAUUCAGCUUGCAUUAAAAAAAUAGUAAACAGUACAAAAAAAGUACUGCAGCAACCAAUAAUAAACUACUAAUGUUUAUUACAAGCUAACCUAGAUGAAGCAAGUUACUUUGAAUUUUAAAACUAGGGUCAAGAUAGUAAGGAUUUAGAUCCUCUCUGAUAUCCAAAAAAAGCUACUGAAUUUGAAAAAUGGUUGCCUUCUCAAAGAAGUGAGUUACUUUAAGGUGGCAUCAGAACCAACAUAUAAGAAAAUAAGAAAUCAUGUUCAGUUAGGUAGUCAUGACAAAAUGAAGCAAAAUAUGCAAAUAGCAGGCAAUUUGAUUAGUAAAGCCAUUCUUUGCCACCACUCACAUUCAGUUCACAUGCCACUGAUCUCAAGAAUCAUUUAAAAACAGUAGAUAAGUACCGAAUGUAUGAUGCAUAUGAGAACCCAAAUCAUAUUUUUAAGGUAACAACGCAGUUCAAGCGCACAAGUAGCAUGGGGUUGACAAAUUUAUAAAUACAAGUUAAUGAUGACAUGGUUAAAUCUCUCCUACUUCUGCAGAAUUCCAGUACAUGAAACCAAAACAGAAUUUGACUACUCCACGUAAACACAAGCUAGUUGCAAGCCAUAGUCUUAGAAAUGCUUCAACAAGUGUCUGUACCUCAUCCCACAUUGCUAUUCUCUUGAAAGAUAUUAACAUGCAGGAAUUUUAUAAAAGAUUCAUAGAAGAUUUAUGAAUGUUACAUUAUUUGAAAGAUAUAUGGGAAAUUUGACAGAUUUAUCAAUUCCCCUUUCAAAUUAACGGGUUUAAUUAGGAUUUAUGAAUAUCCCAUCAAGAAGCAAUGGACAAGGAACCAAAAGCAUCUCAAUAGGCCCAAACACAGCAAUCUAAUUAAGAUCAGAAUUAGCUAGGGAGAAGAGGGCAAGAAUCAGAAGUGCACUAUAAUUUUAUCAAAACUAAGUGGGAACAGUUAUUAUCACUAUCACUAUCCUGAACUUUCUCAGCAACCAAACAAGAUAAGGACAGAGUACCUUCAAGGUAGGUUCAAGCUCACCAAGCUGAAUAGAAAUGCGAUUGAGACAGUGCUUGCUCGAAUCCCAAUAAUAGAACCUAGAAGACCCAUCCAUGCCAAAUUGCAAUUCUGUGGAAAGGCAACCUCACAUGCCCUCUCUGAUUUCUAAUUUUUGUUUGCAGUCUAUUGUUAUGCUCCUCUACCCAAAUCACUAUAAAGCAAUUGGCUUACAUCAGGUAUCAAGAGGGGUCAUUGCCUCAUCGAUGACCAAGGAAGUCUCUGGAGUGGAGCGUCAGCCACAAUGAGUUGUCUCUAGAGGGUACAAGAUGCAAGAUGACAUAGAGGCUUAGGGUUAGAAGCUUUUGAAUCAGGUUUUGACUGGAGAACACCCAACCCAAUCCUACACUUAAACUGAAAUUAUCGGUUUGGUUCAGAAUGGGUCAGUCAGAUCUGUCAAGUUUAUUCGAAAUUUGAACAGCCCUAGGUAGCAUCACCUUAUAGGCACAUAAAGUAGCUUCUGAAUUAGCUUUGCAUCUUACGUGGAAAGCAGCCUGUGCUUUCUUUACAUUUUCCUCUUUUCCUGCCCAUGCCUUGAGAGUACUCUGCUGAAGAGCACAGCCAAAAGAGAAUGCAAGGGACCAGGGUUUUUUGCCCUUGAGUUUGUUCAUUGCAUUCAAAUUGAUAGUGGCUUCCUCCUCACUCUGUCCACCAGAAAGGAACACAAUAGCAGGAACAGCAGGAGGAACUGUUCGCUGCAAAGCCCUGACUGUAUACUCAGCCACCACCUCAGGUUUAACCUUUGGGCUAUCUGAGCCAGGGGUAACCAUGUUUGGCUUCAAAAGAGUUCCCUCAAGAAGCACAUGAUGAUCAUUUAGUGCUUUAUAGCAAGCUGCAAGAACCCGCUCAGUCACAUCAGCACAGCGAUUAAUAUCAUGGGAUCCAUCCACCAAAAUCUCCGGCUCAACAAUAGGUACCAAUCCAUUCUCCUGACAGAUAAUAGCAUAACGUGCCAAGCCAUUUGCAUUCUCAUUGAUAGCAAGAUGAGAUGGUUCAGUUGGACCAAUUUUUAGCACAGCUCUCCAUUUAGCAAAUCGAGCCCCAGCUUCAUAAUACUUCUGACAGCGCUCAGCUAGGCCAUCAAGACCAAGAGUUGAGGUUUCACUGUUAGUUCCAGCAAGCUCAACAAUGCCCUUGUCAACUUUGAUUCCUGGAAGAACCCCACCUUCCUUGAGAAUGUCAACGAAGGGCUUACCAUCAGCCCUUUUCUGGUAAAGUGUUUCCUCAAAAAGGAUUACACCACUGAGGAAUUGAAGGACUCCUGGAGCACAGAAGAGGAGCUCGCGAAAAGCUCGCCUAUUGGACUCAACAUUCUCAACAUUGAUGCUUGCUAGACGCUUGCCAAUGGUGCCAGUAGACUCAUCAGCAGCAAGAAUACCCUUUCCAGGGGUGCCAAUGUAA
RNAcentral lists this unclassified non-coding RNA (3512 nucleotides) under Hevea brasiliensis (rubber tree). The record is from RNAcentral. Lineage: Eukaryota; Viridiplantae; Streptophyta; Magnoliopsida; Malpighiales; Euphorbiaceae.